UACGUAGGGAGCAAGCGUUGUCCGGAAUCAUUGGGCGUAAAGCGCGCGUAGGCGGCCUCGUAAGUCCGUUGUGAAAGUCAAAGGCUCAACCUUUGAAAGCCGAUGGAUACUGUGAGGCUAGAGUCCGGAAGAGGCGAGUGGAAUUCCUGGUGUAGCGGUGGAAUGCGCAGAUAUCAGGAGGAACACCAAUAGCGAAGGCAGCUCGCUGGGACG
Molecule: ribosomal RNA, 213 nt
Filed under: uncultured bacterium
Lineage: Bacteria
Description: partial 16S ribosomal RNA
Rfam family: Bacterial small subunit ribosomal RNA
Source: RNAcentral